This is a non-coding RNA of Canis lupus familiaris (dog), 58 nucleotides long. Lineage: Eukaryota; Metazoa; Chordata; Mammalia; Carnivora; Canidae. The record is from Rfam.
ACCUGGGUGGCUCAGUGGUUGAGCACCUGCCUUUGGCUCAGGGUGUGAUCCCCAGGUC